Prunus persica (peach) is the source of this 110-nucleotide non-coding RNA. NCBI's taxonomy places the organism in Eukaryota, Viridiplantae, Streptophyta, Magnoliopsida, Rosales, Rosaceae. The record is from Rfam.
UUGGGAGCUCACUGGCUUCGGAGUCAUGGGAAUUCCGAAGUUAAGCGAGUUUGGGCUAGAGCAAUCCCAGGAUGGGUGACCCACUAGGAAAUUGCUCGUAAGUUCCCAGA